This 77-nucleotide transfer RNA is filed under the name Pectobacterium phage DU_PP_V. Its description in RNAcentral is "tRNA-Leu". It matches the Rfam family "tRNA". Rfam says of the family: Transfer RNA (tRNA) molecules are approximately 80 nucleotides in length. Their secondary structure includes four short double-helical elements and three loops (D, anti-codon, and T loops). Lineage: Duplodnaviria; Heunggongvirae; Uroviricota; Caudoviricetes; Demerecviridae. The record is from RNAcentral.
GCACCAUUAGCCCAAUUGGCAGAGGCACUAGAUUUAGGUUCUAGGGGUUCUCAGUUCGAAUCUGAGAUGGUGUACCA